Triticum dicoccoides is the source of this 3756-nucleotide long non-coding RNA. RefSeq lists it as uncharacterized. NCBI's taxonomy places the organism in Eukaryota, Viridiplantae, Streptophyta, Magnoliopsida, Poales, Poaceae. The record is from RefSeq and is a predicted model, not a curated record. The transcript is spliced from 6 exons.
CGAACCCAUCUACUUCUGGAUAAUUUUAUUUGUGAACUUGUCUGUAGUUUAUUUAGCUGGUCUUGUAUUAUUUUGUUUCUGAAUAGUAGAGUCUUCGGCUGAGGCCAUGCAUGGAGAAUGUGAUCUCCUGAUGCAUCUAUGAGCCAUGGGUCUGAUAGGUCUUCUGUUUUGCUUCUACACUUAUUAACGUGUGAUUAAUUUUAUAUUCUCUUUUCUGGCAAGCAGCUCAUCGGAUUAUAGAUUAUUAAUUAUGCAUGAAUCAAGUUAGUUAUUUUGCCUUUUGAGAUAUGUUUCAGGACAAGUGGAGCUAUCUUUACUAAGAUGAACAGUGCCUCUCACAUCCAUCAUUGCCUGUAUUUUGGAUUUUUUUGUAGCCUUGAUGUUAAGUUUUUGUUUGGUAGGCAUAGCACCUAAUUUAUAAUGAAGUGCGUCCAUCAAGGGAACUGUUUGAUGUAUAUCAACCAUGACAGAAUCUAUCUUAACACUGCCCUGUUUUCUGUGAUUCUCAAAGGUUAUGCAAAUCUUCAUGGCUAUGAUAGAUUGUUCAAAGAACCAUUUGAACCUUGGAAGGGAUAUGUUCUACGAUAUGUGGUACAAACCAUCCUUGUGAGAAAUCCAACGGAUUCGAUGAGGACUGAGGAAGGAGCCGGAGGAGGUGGUGGGUUGAGGAAGGAGCUGGAGCAGAGGCGGCUUUGAGGCUGCCCCUACACGCACUAAGAGGCAGGAGGAAAAUAUGAGGCGCCGGCGAUCCGGACGUUGCAGUGUUUUCUUCGUCUCUCCUGGUGCGAGACCAGAAAUUCAGAGGAUGUGCAAGAUGAAACAUGGUGCAUGAGGCUUCAUGAGCAUAAUUGUAAGGAUUACAAACUUUCUUAGGAAAACCAAUACAACAGUGAUAAAUAUAAUUUCAUUUAUAGCUCAUGUUUUGAACUGUAUUUUAUAUGCAAUUUCGAUAUCAUGGUGGAACACAAAAUUUAAAUAGAAAAAAAUAAUACUGGCCAAUGUAUAUUUUUCAAGUUCAGAUAUAUAUACAUGCUUAACUAAAGUACACACAGUGCAUACUGUGGAAUCACAUGACAAAUAUUCAUGCUUUACUAAAUGCAUCUGCUCCAUUUUGGCAUAUGUGAAUCUCUUUUGGGGAUAGUUCUGUGUGGCCUUGGAUCAAUCCUGAACUGGUUGGUGUUAUAUACCCAUUCUCUUCACAUGACCCAAUAGGUAUUAGAGAGGAACAUGUUACUUUGGUUACUUUUAUCUCCAUUUUACGCAAUUUAGCUUGUUGCAACUGUGGUUUUAUGCUGCAGUUGAUAAUAUCCUUUUAGUUAGAUGGCAAUCUUCCUCUAUCCUUUUCAUUGUACUAUGUUUUUGAAGCUCUGAUGUUUAUUUGAAAAUAGAAACUAGCAAAAUUUUGUUUGCCGCUGCUUGGUCAGGCAAAGCCAGCUGUUCGUUACUGUGUGCGGUUCUCUUGCCAUUUUAUGGGGUGCAACUGGAACUGGCAGAAGACUGUAGUUGUGUCGUUGUCACAUUUACUGAUUUGAUGUUUCUUUUCAAGAUUAUAGUAUUUGUUUACCAAUUUCUUUCUUCUAUUCCUUCUAGAUAAUUUGCUUCAGUUCUACUCCCUCCAUUCUGAUUUACUCGUCGUGGUCGAGUAAAUCAGAAUGGAGGGAGUACAUGGUGAAACAUGCAUAUUGUUUCCCGAUAUAUUGGGCAUCAGUCCACCUCUCAUGAGAUCUCUGAAUUUUCAACCCAUAUUGUGUUUGCUGAAUUAUUUCCUCUAGAUAACUAUGCUUGGAUUAAAAAAUGUGUGCAAUUGCUUUCAAAUGGAGGUUAUUUCUUUACUAAUUCUGUGCUAUUCCACUUUCAAGCUUUUGGACCUAGAAGUGUAAUACUAGCUAGGUUAGCUGCAGAAGCGGGAUUUAUAUGGCCUGAAUUUUUAUUUCACAGUGUAUAAACUGAUUCAAAGUAUUUCUGACUCCUUGCGUUCUGAAACAUUUUGUUGUAUGGUUCUGUCUUGAAAGAAUUGAAGCAAUUUUUCUAUGGGAGAUAAUAUGAAUGUGAUUCCGAAACAACAUGCAGUGUCAUUAAGUUUCUUAUUUACCAACUUAAACAUGGUCAGUAAUAGCACAACUAAAGUUUCUGAACAUAUCAUUAUAGAACUGUUGGCUGGAUUGUGUUUUGUAUGGAUUCUUCAAGGGACAUUUCUAAGGAAUUACAAGUUAGUUUUACAUUUUUCUAGCCAUGCUCAUUGUCUUUGGAUUGCCAAUGCUCGGAUCGGUUUGUGAUCAAGUGGACACAACGACUACCGUUAGUGAGGGUUAAGUAAGGGGUGACCUGAGUGGGCGCCGUGUUGAGAUACACGAUGUUAGUUGAGAUAGAGGAUGUUAGCAUGUGGGGAGGGGGUCUUGAGCCAUGCUUAUUUUUGGUCUACGUCUGUGUGAUAUGUUUUUUUUCGUAGCAACGCACGGACAUUUUUGCUAGUCUUUCCCUAAUCUUUUCCUAAUUUUUUAUAAUAAUAAAGCAUGGAUUAACUCCGUGGGUUCACCGUCACAAUACGCUUCUUCCCGUGAUUUUACGCUUUUAGUUUUACAGUUUUAAAUUAAAACGUAUUCGAGGUGGUACGAAAUUGUGUGUGGUUCUCUGUUGCGGCGUAUUUUCAGAAAAGCCCCUUACGUUUUGAAGAAUCAACCCGCAGUCCUUUUUUUAACUGGCUAACUGAGAUAAUGUUUCAUUGUUGCAAAAACGUCCAUGUAGUUUAGUAUAUUCACCCCGCAGUCCUUUAAACAAACACAUCACAACAGAUCCUCUUCCUCUUCCCCAUGCACGAGUGGGCGCACCGCCGCCGCCACCGCCUUCCUCGCGGAGUCUGCGACCGAAGGAUCGGUUGGGGCGCACCGGGUCUAGGCCGGCCUUCUGUGGGGCGCAGUGCGAGCUCUCGGCUCGGGGCAGGAGGUGGCUCGAUGAAGAGGAGCUGGGGCACGGCGCUCCUCUCCUGGUGUGGCGCACGAGGGAAGGAGGAGGGGAUCGACCCAAGACAGGAGCUGAGGCCGGCGGCGCCCUUCACACAAGCCUCACCGGCGGUGCCCUCUACACAAGCCUCACCGGCGGUGCCCUCUACACAAGCCUCACCGGCGGUGCGGCGGGAGAGCUCCUACCCGUCCAUAGGUGCGGGGAUGCAGAUCCGCGUCGCCAGCCUGUACUAGGCCGAGGUUGACACGCCGGUGCAGGGGUCACCGUCCAUCUUCGUCAGGUAAGCACGGACGUUCUUCUCUCUGUCGUUGUUGCGGUGCUUGGGUCGCGAGGAGGCGAUGCGUGUUUGCUUUGCUGUAGGUGCUUUGGCGCUGUAGACAACACCUCUGGUUCUCCUCCAUGCUCGCAGGCCUCCAGAGUACUCUAGCAACAGCCACUGGACGGCAGGGUGGUGACUGGGAGGCUGGGACAUGCUGGCACGGUCAAACAGCCGGUUCACUGUGAUCAGGGUGCUAGAGGCUCUUGGGGUCGCAGCCCGCUCGCCUGCUGGAGGUACAAUGUUGAUUAUUUAGAGACCUCAUCUUCAUGAGACUAGCAAGGGAUGGACAUUCUGAAGAAGAGGAGAUGAGACGUUGGAGUCCGGGAGCAAGACGCCAUCGUUGACGACGACUCCUUCUACGCUGGAGGUGCUUACUACUACGUGCAGCCCGCCUAGGACGACCAGGAGUAGUUUAGGAGGAUCCCAGGCAGGAGGCCUGUGCCUCUUUCGAUCUGUAUCCCAGUUUGUGCUAGCCU